AAGCAAUCACUUCGCCACCACCUUCCUACUACAGGUCAUCGUUCAGCUAAAGACUAUUUAAAAUCAAACAGGAAAAGUAAUGACACUAUCACUUCAUUUAAAUAAAUUUACCUUUAAAAUACCUCCCUACAUUGUCCUUAUUUUUUUCAUUUCUCUCCAGACAAAUGGAUACAGUCUCUGAUUUUAGAAGGCAGUUCUCCCGAGCCCCCAGUGGGAUUAAUGUCACACCCGGAGUUUCUUCUCUUCCGGUGGCUGGGACACGGUCAGACACAGAAUGAUGAACUUGGACAUGGACUCAGAUUAAGCGGGAAGCUCCCGCCAAAUGAGGGAAGAAGCAAAGAAAGUGGAAGGUAUGGGGCCAGGCAUGGUGGCUCACACCUGUAAUCCUACACUUUGGGAAGCCGAGGCAGACAGAUUGCUUGAGCUCAGGAGUUUGAGACCAGCCUGGGCAAUAUGGUGAAACCCCGUCACUACCAACUUGACUGAAUUGAGGGAUGCCUAGAUGGCUGGUGAAGCAUUGUUUCUAGCUGUAUCUGUGAGGGUGUUUCCAGAGGAGAUUGACCUGUGAGUCAGUGGACUGAGAGAGGAAGACCUACCCUCAGUGUGGCAAGCACCAUACAGUCAGCUGAGGGCUAGGCUGGGGCAAACAGGAAAGAGAGGGAAUUCUCUCUCUUUGCUCUCUCCCUUCUGGAACAAGACACCUUUUUCCUUCCUGCUUUUGGACAUCAGAUUGCACCAUAUUCAUCUUUUAGACACUGGGAUUCGCACGAGUGGCUUCCCAGGAACUCUUGGGCUUUUAGCCUCAGAGUGGGGGCCAAACCCUCUGCUUCCCUGGUUCUGAGGCUGCUGGGA
Molecule: long non-coding RNA, 852 nt
Filed under: Homo sapiens (human)
Lineage: Eukaryota; Metazoa; Chordata; Mammalia; Primates; Hominidae
Description: HSALNT0112214
Source: RNAcentral